Lolium perenne is the source of this 801-nucleotide long non-coding RNA. RefSeq lists it as uncharacterized. The record is from RefSeq and is a predicted model, not a curated record. Lineage: Eukaryota; Viridiplantae; Streptophyta; Magnoliopsida; Poales; Poaceae.
GUGGAUCCCACCAGGUCUCCUGCUACCUCAGUCGAAUACGUUUUCGUGUACGGGACGAACUCCCCGCAGAACGCCCACGAAAAUCUCCGAUUUCGGCUCAGAUUUUAACCCCUUUUCCACGAAAUUUCGUCUAUAAAUACCUCCAACUCUGUGCUCCUUUUCCCCUCAAAAACCCUAACAAAUCAGCCGCCAGGCUGCCGGAUUUUGAGCUCGCCGCCACCGCCAUCUUGAAGUUUGAAGAUCACCGGUAGUCUCGUGAUUCCUCAUCGGAGCUUCGCCGGAGUUUGCGACCUCCAUCCGCCCGCCACGGUCGUUCAGGUAUGAGCCAGUUGACUCCGAGGAUACGUACGUGACCACCGCGAGGAGUUGAAGAUCGUCCACUACCGCGCCACCUCGGGAGAACGCCGUAACCAGAACCACCAUCAACGAGCUGCAGUUCAUAUUUUGGCCGAUUGUCCGAAGUGUAACGAGUGCGACUGCGGUGAUUGUUUGAACAACAACGAAGGCAAGUGUCACACACUGUUCUGUCCUAUUAUUUUUCUAUGCACUUUGUAGUUAUUUUCAGUAGCUAUCCAUGUGUAGGAUUGUUUUAAAUAUAUAUUGCUAUGCUAUGAACACCUAUUAGAACAGCCACAUGUUCAACAAUUGAUUCUUUUGUCGCCACCGUAUUGUUGUUUGCUUAGCAAUGCUAUCUUAGAUGCGUGGAUUGGGUUAUCAUGAUAAGUUUAGAUGAAUAAAAUUAUAUGUUUUGAUAUAAUGAAAACAACCUGAAUAAUGAAACACCUGGGCGGAUUGGUAAGA